CCUANGGGUGGCAGCAGUGAGGAAUAUUGCGCAAUGGAGGCAACUCUGACGCAGCCAUGCCGCGUGCAGGAAGAAGGCGCUACGCGUUGUAAACUGCUUUUAACCGGGAAGAAACCCCAGGACGUGUCCUGGGUUGACGGUACCGGAGGAAUAAGCACCGGCUAACUUCGUGCCAGCAGCCGCGGUAAUACGAAGGGUGCAAGCGUUAUCCGGAUUCAUUGGGUUUAAAGGGUGCGUAGGUGGGGCGAUAAGUCAGUGGUGAAAUCUUGCGGCUUAACCGUAAAAUUGCCAUUGAUACUGUCGCUCUUGAGUACGCUUGACGUGGGCGGAAUGUGCCGUGUAGCGGUGAAAUGCUUAGAUAUGGCACAGAACACCGAUAGUGAAGACAGCUCACGAAAGCGAAACUGACACUGAGGCACGAAAGCGUGGGGAUCGAACAGGAUUAGAUACCCGANUANUC
RNAcentral lists this ribosomal RNA (460 nucleotides) under uncultured bacterium. RNAcentral's name for it is "bacterial SSU rRNA". It matches the Rfam family "Bacterial small subunit ribosomal RNA", at positions 338 to 795 of the family's 1533-position model. The record is from RNAcentral.